This 1558-nucleotide long non-coding RNA is filed under the name Marmota monax (woodchuck). The record is from RNAcentral. Lineage: Eukaryota; Metazoa; Chordata; Mammalia; Rodentia; Sciuridae.
UUUUUUUUAACUCCUAUGGCUUGAGAUUUGUCUGUCUUUGAUUUCCUUGUGUGAAUAUAUUGCCUAGUUAUAUUAUUUUUGGCAUUUAUCCAGCAUAGUGUUCUCUGAGCAUCUUGGAUCUGUGGUUUGGUGUUGACAGUAAUUUGGGGGGAAUCCUACUAUUCAAAUAUUGCUCCUAUUCCUUUAAUUAAAAAAAAUUUUUUUAGUUGUCAAUGGACCUUUAUUUAUAUGUGGUACUUAGACUCAAACCCAGUACCUCUCACAUGCUGGGCAAAUGCUCUACCACUGAGCUAGGACCCUGGCCUUGUUCCUUUCAUUCUUAAUUCUUCUGGUUGGUAUUCCCAUUAUGAGUAUGUGGCAUUUAUAAUUGUCCCAUAGUUCUUUUUUUAAUAUUUAUUUUUUAGUUGUAGUUGGACAUAAUACCUUUGUUUUAUUAAUUUUUAUGUGGUGUUGAGGAUCGAACCCAGGACCUUACAUGUGCUAGGCGAGUGCUCUACCACUGAGCUACAGCCCCAGCCCUGUCCCAUAGUUCUUAAGUAUUAUGUGUAUUUUUGUUGUUGUCGUUGUUUGUUUUUUGUUCCUGGGGAUGGAACCUAGGUUUUCCUCAUGCUAGAUAAGUACUCUUAACAUUGAGCUAUACCACCAGUCUUUUGAUAUCCUCAAGCUCAAGAUUCUCUCCUCAUCCAUGUCCAGUCUACAAAUAAGCCCAUUGAAGGCAUUCUUUAUUUCUGUUGUUUCUUAGGAUUUCCACCUCUGUUUACGUUGGUCAUCUGUUCUUGCAUGCUGUGUGCAUCCACUGAAGCCCUUAGCAUCUCUGUUAUAGUUAUAAAUUUUAUGUCUAAUAAUGUGUCAUCUCUACUAUAUUUGACUCUGGUUUUGAGAGUCAAAUAUAUUCUCUUACACUAUUUUGUCUUUCCUUGUACCAAUAGUCUGAAAUGACUUGAUUAGUAUAGCUUAGUAAGUCAUAUAUAAAUACUGAGCCAUAAUCCCAGCUCUUUUAAUAUAUAUAUUUUAAAGAUAGAUAGAGAUAGAGAUAGAUAGAUAGAGAGAGAGAGAGAGAGAGAGAGAGAGAGAGAGAGAGAGAGAAUUUUUUAAUAUUUAUUUUUCAGUUUUCGGCGGACACAACAUCUUUGUAUGUGGUGCUGAGGAUCGAACCCAGGCCGCACGUAUGCCAAGCGAGCACGCUACCACUUGAGCCACAUCCCCAGCCCCUUUUAAUAUAUUUCUAAAUUUUUAUUUGUCCUAAUAAGUCUUGAUAGCUAGAUUUAUUGUUCUUCAAUAUUGAAAUAGCUGUUUUGCCCUUUGUAUUCUCAUAUGUUUUUAAUCUGCUUGUCAAUUUCUAAUAUAAAACUUGGAGAUUUUGAUUGGUAUUUUCAGCAAAACACGUCAAUCUGAAGAGAAUGAACAUAACAUUAAAUCUUCCAAUCCAUGAACAUACCUAUUACUGUUUAGCUCUUCUUUCAACAUUUAGUUUUUUUCUUAUGAAUCUUUCAUUAUUUCUUAGUGUCUGAUGGUUUUGGAUGCAAUCAUACCCACAAAAUUGUUUUAUAUAUUGACC